UACGGAGGAUCCGAGCGUUAUCCGGAUUUAUUGGGUUUAAAGGGUGCGCAGGCGGGGGAUUAAGUCGGCGGUUAAAUUUUGCAGCUCAACUGUAAAAGUGCCUUCGAAACUGGUUUCCUUGAGUGUAGCUGAAGUAGGCGGAAUUUGUGGUGUAGCGGUGAAAUGCAUAGAUAUCACGAGGAACUCCGAUUGCGCAGGCAGCUUACUAAACUACUACUGACGCUCAUGCACGAAGGCGUGGGGAUCAAACAGGAUUAGAUACCCCGGUAGUCCCU
RNAcentral lists this ribosomal RNA (275 nucleotides) under uncultured prokaryote. Its description in RNAcentral is "partial 16S ribosomal RNA". It matches the Rfam family "Bacterial small subunit ribosomal RNA", at positions 524 to 798 of the family's 1533-position model. The record is from RNAcentral.